This is a long non-coding RNA of Crotalus tigris (Tiger rattlesnake), 1316 nucleotides long. RefSeq lists it as uncharacterized. Lineage: Eukaryota; Metazoa; Chordata; Lepidosauria; Squamata; Viperidae. The record is from RefSeq and is a predicted model, not a curated record. The transcript is spliced from 2 exons.
GGGAAAGGGGGGGGCUGAAAAGGGAAAGUUUUGCUUUGCGUUCAGACAAACAAAUGCAGCCGCCGCCCGGAGAGACAGCAGCGACGGGGAGGGGGGGGGUCGCCCCGAAGCGAGGGUGAAGAAAAACCAAAUCCGGAUUGCGCUGCAAAAGAAAAACGGGGGCAAAAAAAGAAGAAGGAAGAAAAAAAAGAGAGAGAAAGCGCAGCGGCUUCACACGUUCAAAGAAACCCGGGACCUCCCCGUCUGGCUCGCGCCGCCCGAACGGAGCAGCAAGAAGCCUGGAAUUGUUACAUUUGGGGGUGACUUCGGGACCUGCGUGUCGGGAGCCUUUUAGAGACGGACGGACCGGCCCUUGGGGCAGACUUUCGCUUUCCUUAGCCUCGAGGGUCGUGGGAACGGGGAGAUGAGAGAAAGAAGCGGGCAUUUUGCUCCCGUAGGAGGACGGUCCUGCUCGGCGGAGCCCGUCGGAGAGCGAAGCCCACCCCGGGAGAAGAGGCGGCGGGAGACCCCCGCCUGGCUGGGGGACUUCCGAAGGAUUCGCGUGUCUUCUUCGCUGGCACCCCGAAGGGACAGGCGGCGCCGCCGUACCCCGUUUUCUUCUUUUUCUGCAGGGGAGUCUAGAAGCGGGGAGGGGACGCAAGAGCGAAGCAGGCCCCCGCAGCGACCUUUCUGGAGCUUCUCCCCCCCCCCUCGCCCAGCCAGCGUUUGCAUGGGGCGCCGGGUGAGGAAGAGGAAGGCAGGCAAGGGCGCCCGGGGCACGGAUGGAUGGCCUCUACGGUGUUGGGAGGACGGCGACCCCCUUAAGAAUGCCAUCGCAGACAACGGGGGAGACCUGAGUUUUCAUUUCCCUGCAGACCUUCUACAAUGAAGGAGCUGACUUAACGUACCUGUUGUUUAACGACCCGUGAACAAUUUUUUUCUUUCACAUAUAUGAAAGAAAAGGAGGACGAGAAAUGAUGGAUGGAAACUCGUCAAGGAGAGAAGCAACCUGGAACUAAGGAGAAACUUCCUGACAGUUAGAACAGUUCACCAGUGGAACAGCUUGCCACCAGAAGUUGUGGGUGCUCCAACGCUGGAGGUUUUCAAGAAGAGACUGGGCAGCCUUUUGUCUGCAAUGGGAUAGACUCUUUUGCUUGACCAGGGGGUUGGACUAGAAGACCUCCAAGGUCCCUUCCAACUCUGUUCUUCUAUGUAAGAUCGGUGCCGUGCAAAACCUGUCAUUAAAUGGCCGUUCGGGUGAAGGUUUUCAAACUCUGCAAAAAUUGCAAACCCAUUUUUUUUUAUGAAAAAAUAAAAUAAAAUUGCUAGGAACCUUC